CAUGGGCUCCCUAUUUUUGCUGUAUCAGACCCUGGGAUUACUAUAUUUUGUAACUUUAUUUACAGUGUUCUUCUGAAUAACAUCUAAAUAGCCCACGUCUGAACACCAG
This is a long non-coding RNA of Chiroxiphia lanceolata (lance-tailed manakin), 109 nucleotides long. RefSeq lists it as uncharacterized. Lineage: Eukaryota; Metazoa; Chordata; Aves; Passeriformes; Pipridae. The record is from RefSeq and is a predicted model, not a curated record. The transcript has 3 exons.